CCUCCACGGCACUUGCUCCUCCAUGGUCUGAUUAUUGGGAAGAAAGCUCCUCCUUUUGCCUAGAGCAUUUACCUGUGAGUCAGCCUUGGCAAAGAGCAGCAGAAGGAAGUAGAGG
Cricetulus griseus (Chinese hamster) is the source of this 115-nucleotide microRNA precursor. The record is from Ensembl. Lineage: Eukaryota; Metazoa; Chordata; Mammalia; Rodentia; Cricetidae.